AGAGGUUACACUGGACACAACUUAGAUCUCCAGCACCUUAUAGGUGCUUCUCAGGACCUGAUGGUACCAAAAGAUUCUCCAGGGAUCAUCUCUGCACAGUCCCCUGGCAGUGUACCCUCAGCAGCCCUGCCUGUGCUGGAACAAUUGAAUCCUUCCUUCUGUCAGCUGUGCUGGGGGGCAGUACCAGACAGAUGUUCCAGUGACACCACAUCCCAAGCCUGUCUCCAACCCUACUGGGAAUGCCACUCCCUCCUUCCUGUGGCUUCUUCCUCAUACAUGGAAUUUGCCUGGCCCUGCCUCACCACCCAUCCUGUGCAUCAUCUGAUUGGAGGCCCAGGACAAGCGCCAUCAACCUAUUACUUACACUGGCCAUAAGAGGCCUCUACUUGGCAGUAAUAAAAACUUUUUCUAGAAGUU
RNAcentral lists this long non-coding RNA (417 nucleotides) under Rattus norvegicus (Norway rat). Its description in RNAcentral is "long non-coding RNA NONRATT021285". The record is from RNAcentral. Lineage: Eukaryota; Metazoa; Chordata; Mammalia; Rodentia; Muridae.